CAUCCUGAGAAUCCCUUGGAAACUUGGGAGUGCCUUCGGGAGCGCAGUGACAGGUGGUGCAUGGCUGUCGUCAGCUCGUGUCGUGAGAUGUUGGGUUAAGUCCCGCAACGAGCGCAACCCACGUCUUUAGUUGCCAGCAUUAAGUUGGGCACUCUAGAGAGACUGCCGGUGAUAAACCGGAGGAAGGUGUGGAUGACGUCAAGUCAUCAUGCCCCUUACAUCCUGGGCUACACACGUACUACAAUGCUACGGACAAAGGGCAGCAAACUGUGCGAGAGCUAGCAAAUCCCAUAAACCGUGGCUCAGUUCAGAUCGUAGGCUGCAACUCGCCUACGUGAAGGAGGAAUCGCUAGUAAUCGCAGGUCAGCAUACUGC
This 375-nucleotide ribosomal RNA is filed under the name uncultured bacterium. RNAcentral's name for it is "bacterial SSU rRNA". It matches the Rfam family "Bacterial small subunit ribosomal RNA", at positions 985 to 1360 of the family's 1533-position model. The record is from RNAcentral.